This 372-nucleotide ribosomal RNA is filed under the name uncultured organism. RNAcentral describes it as "bacterial SSU rRNA". It matches the Rfam family "Bacterial small subunit ribosomal RNA", at positions 526 to 896 of the family's 1533-position model. The record is from RNAcentral.
CGUAGGGGGCAAGCGUUGUCCGGAUUUAUUGGGCGUAAAGAGCGUGUAGGCGGCUUUGCAAGUCCGUUGUGAAAACUCGAGGCUCAACCUCGAGACGCCGGUGGAAACUGCAAAGCUAGAGUCCGGAAGAGGAGAGUGGAAUUCCUGGUGUAGCGGUGAAAUGCGCAGAUAUCAGGAAGAACACCCGUGGCGAAGGCGGCUCUCUGGGACGGUACUGACGCUGAGACGCGAAAGCGUGGGGAGCAAACAGGAUUAGAUACCCUGGUAGUCCACGCCGUAAACGAUGGGUGCUAGGUGUGGGCGGUGUCGACUCCGUCCGUGCCGAAGCUAACGCAUUAAGCACCCCGCCUGGGGAGUACGGCCGCAAGGCUA